CACAACUGAGCAGUUUUCUUUGAAAAAGAAUAUCAUCAUGAAUUUUGUCGAAAAACAACACCAUACUAUACUAUGUCGAAAAAAAAAAUGAUUUUUUCAAGGUGUCGUAAAAACAUGCCAUAUGAUGAAAUAAUGUAAAAUAGGCCGUGAAAAACACUGCAGAGCAGUUUUCUUUGAAAAAAAAAAUCAUCGUGAAUUUUAUCCAAAAAAAAGCCAGAGGAUACUAUGUCGAAAAAAAUUUAUUUUUUCAACAUGUCGUAAAAACAUGCCAUAUGAUGAAAUAAUGUACAACAGGCCGUGAAAAACACUGCAGAGCAGUUUUCUUUGAAAAAAAAAUCAUCGUGAAUUUUAUCCAAAAAAAAGCCAGAGUAUACUAUGUCAAAAAAAAUUUAUUUUUUCAACAUGUCGUAAAAACAUGCCAUAUGAUGAAAUAAUGUACAACAGGCCGUGAAAAACACUGCAGAGCAGUUUUCUUUGAAGAAAAAAAUCAUCAUGAAUUUUGUCCAAAAAAAACGCCAUAGUAUAUACUAUGUCGAAAAAAAUGUGAUUUUUUUCAACAUGUCAUAAAAACAUGCCAUAUGAUGAAAUAAUGUAAAAUAGGCCGUGAAAAACACUGCAGAGCAGUUUUCUUUAAAAAAAAAAUCAUCAUGAAUUUUAUCCAAAAAAAACGCCAGAGUAUACUAUGUCGAAAAAUAAUUGAUUUUUUCAACGUGUCGUAAAAACAUGCCAUAUGAUGAAAUAAUGUAAAAUAGGCCGUGAAAAACACUGCAGAGCAGUUUUCUUUGAAAAAAAAAUCAUCGUGAAUUUUAUCCAAAAAAAGCCAGAGUAUACUAUGUCAAAAAAAAAUUUUUUUUUCAACAUGUCGUAAAAACAUGCCAUAUGAUGAAAUAAUGUACAACAGGCCGUGAAAAACACUGCAGAGCAGUUUUCUUUGAAGAAAAAAAUCAUCAUGAAUUUUGUCCAAAAAAAACGCCAUAGUAUAUACUGUCGAAAAAUAAUUGAUUUUUUUCAACGUGUCGUAAAAACAUGCCAUAUGAUGAAAUAAUGUACAAUAGGCCGUGAAAAACACUGCAGAGCAGUUUUCUUUGAAAAAAAAAUCAUCAUGAAUUUUGUCCAAAAAAAACGCCAUACUAUACUAUGUCGAAAAAAAUGUGAUUUUUUCA
Long non-coding RNA from Acanthochromis polyacanthus (spiny chromis), 1163 nucleotides. RefSeq lists it as uncharacterized. The record is from RefSeq and is a predicted model, not a curated record. Lineage: Eukaryota; Metazoa; Chordata; Actinopteri; Pomacentridae. The transcript has 4 exons.